RNAcentral lists this long non-coding RNA (519 nucleotides) under Homo sapiens (human). Its description in RNAcentral is "HSALNT0334987". The record is from RNAcentral. Lineage: Eukaryota; Metazoa; Chordata; Mammalia; Primates; Hominidae.
AAGAAAAAACAGGUCAUACCUUCACCAUGAUGCUUGAAAAUUUCCUCAGCUAAAUGACCAGAUUUGUCACUUACAAAGUCUGCCUUCAGCAUAACUGCAGAACACAAUAUAUAUAAGCUUUCUGCUUCUAUAUAACAAGGAUUCUCCUUCCUUCAGUCUCCAAUAUUGGGUUCCUCAUUUUCUUCUCAGAGAUCACCAGAGCAUCCUUCAAGUCCACAUUUCUACUAAUAACCUAUUCAAGACUUUACCAAGCAGACGCUGCUGGAAAAACAAGAACUUUCCUUGUCUGCUGUUAAGAUGCCAGAAAAAUGAUGAAAAGAGCACAGUACCGAAAAUAAGAAGAGAGUAAAACCAUAAUAAGAAAGACAAGGUGCUGGAGGGUGCACGGUGAUUAGGAACUGGCAUGGAUCCCCAGUGCAGCACAACUGCUUCACAGAAAAGUGUCUGUGUGUCUGGAGUUGGUUCCUUCCCAUGGGUUCAUUCGUGGUCUCGCUGACUUCAAGAAUGGAGCCGUGGACC